GAGGGUAUAGCUUACCGAUAGAGCACGUGCUUAGUAUGCAUGAGGUCCUGGCUUCAAUCCCCAGUACUUUCA
This 72-nucleotide transfer RNA is filed under the name Camelus bactrianus (Bactrian camel). It matches the Rfam family "tRNA". From Rfam's summary of the family: Transfer RNA (tRNA) molecules are approximately 80 nucleotides in length. Lineage: Eukaryota; Metazoa; Chordata; Mammalia; Artiodactyla; Camelidae. The record is from Rfam by way of RNAcentral. RNAcentral also lists the same sequence under 1 other name.